RNAcentral lists this ribosomal RNA (405 nucleotides) under uncultured bacterium. RNAcentral describes it as "partial 16S ribosomal RNA". It matches the Rfam family "Bacterial small subunit ribosomal RNA", at positions 30 to 526 of the family's 1533-position model. The record is from RNAcentral.
AUUGAACGCUGGCGGCAGGCUUAACACAUGCAAGUCGAACGAGUGGCGGACGGGUGAGUAAUGCUUGGGAAUCUGGCUUAUGGAGGGGGAUAACUACGGGAAACUGUAGCUAAUACCGCGUACCAUAGGAUGAGCCCACGUGGGAUUAGGUAGUUGGUGAGGUAAAGGCUCACCAAGCCGACGAUCGCUAGCUGGUCUGAGAGGAUGACCAGCCACACUGGGACGGAGACACGGCCCAGACUCCUACGGGAGGCAGCAGUGGGGAAUAGUGCGCAAUGGGGGCAACCUGAGGCAGCAAUGCCGCGUGAAUGAAGAAGGCCUUCGGGUUGUAAAGUUCUUUCGGUGGCGAGGCGUUAACUGCAGAAGAAGCACCGGCUAACUCCGUGCCAGCAGCCGCGGUAAUAC